This 775-nucleotide ribosomal RNA is filed under the name uncultured Neocallimastigales. Its description in RNAcentral is "partial large subunit ribosomal RNA". It matches the Rfam family "Eukaryotic large subunit ribosomal RNA", at positions 24 to 635 of the family's 3401-position model. Lineage: Eukaryota; Fungi; Neocallimastigomycota; Neocallimastigomycetes; Neocallimastigales. The record is from RNAcentral.
UAUCUCUGUAGAGUCUGCAUAUCAAUAAGCGGAGGAAAAGAAACUAACUAAGGAUUCCCUUAGUAACGGCGAGUGAAGCGGGAAGAGCUCAAAUUUGAAAUCUUCAAGGUUUUACCUUGACGAAUUGUAGUUUAAAGAAGUGUUUUCUGUUGGUGUUUUGGUAAAAGUUCUUUGGAAUAGGACAUCAUAGAGGGUGAGAAUCCCGUAUUUGACCAUUAUUUCCAGCUUUGUGAUACACUUUCAAAGAGUCGGAUUGUUUGGGAAUGCAGUCCAAAAUGGGUGGUAGAUUUCAUCUAAAGCUAAAUACUGGCGAGAGACCGAUAGCGAACAAGUACCGUGAGGGAAAGAUGAAAAGAACUUUGAAAAGAGAGUUAAACAGUACGUGAAAUUGUCAAAAGGGAAGCGUUUGACACCAGUGUUGUUUUCUCGAAAAUCAAUUAAAAAAGGCAGGAUUUUGUGUUGUAUUGACUUUAUCAGCUUUCUGCACUCUUUUCUUGUCUUUUUUAAUGCACUUUUCGUUUAACAAGUCAACAUCAAUUUCUUUUGUUGUAAAAGGGUCAUUGGAAGGUGGCUUUCUUUUCGGAGAAAGUGUUUAAAGCCUUUGGCCUCUGCAAUCGGAGAGAUUGAGGUCUGCAGCGUAGAUCCUUCGGGGUUAGAUACAUUUGUGCUAAGUUAUAGCCUUUCAUAGACAACUUGUUGACUAUGAUCAGUCAUGUAGCUUACUCGCUUAUGCUAUUUUACCUACGCUUAGGAUGUUGAAGAUGUAGCACAUCAU